ACCCUCUUUUGCAUCCAAGAGACACUCCAUAUGAAAACCAAAGACCCUCUAAUUAAUGGACAUCCCCAAAUUGAUCAAAUCAAAGUGACGCCCCAUAAUAACUAUCAAGGAGAUUCAUAAGGGACUUACACCCUUAAUUUAUAUGAUCCAUAACCUUAAACAUCCAAUAAUUGGAGUCUCAUGAAUCUUAUUCAUAUAGAUUAUUAGCAGAUAAUUUAGUUAGAAUUAUCUUAUCAAAUAAGUAAUCCCAACGAAAAGAGAAAUUGGAUCCAACCAUGUGCUAGCAAGGUUACCAUGAACCCAAUGGGUUUCUCUAAACCCAAUUGAUACUUCAUAAGUUUAAUUUCUUAUUUCAGACCUAAUCUUUUUGUUGUGUGACCCCAUAGGUUUAAUUCUAUCUGGCAGUGAGAUAUACAAUGAUCUCUAUUAUUAUAUCAUUGAAACUCUUUUCAAUGGAUCGGAAUAAUUCCACUCUAACUCAGCAAGGAUUGUCGAUCCGGAAUAAUCCUAGUGAGCUCUCACAACCCAUCAAUGACACCUAGCAGUAUAUAGUGGUAAUCCAAUAGAAUUGAAAUGAACCUCUAGAUAUAGUUAACGUGUGAUUUAGUCCCUUUAUCGUGAGUCCCGACUAGAUGGC
Molecule: long non-coding RNA, 637 nt
Filed under: Elaeis guineensis (African oil palm)
Lineage: Eukaryota; Viridiplantae; Streptophyta; Magnoliopsida; Arecales; Arecaceae
Description: long non-coding RNA (EGUI_LNC082509)
Source: RNAcentral